GGGAGUGUGGCUCAGAGGUAGAGUGCUUGCCUAGCAUGCAUGAAGCCCUGGGUUCGAUUCCUCAGUACCA
RNAcentral lists this transfer RNA (70 nucleotides) under Dipodomys ordii (Ord's kangaroo rat). It matches the Rfam family "tRNA". From Rfam's summary of the family: Transfer RNA (tRNA) molecules are approximately 80 nucleotides in length. The record is from Rfam by way of RNAcentral. Lineage: Eukaryota; Metazoa; Chordata; Mammalia; Rodentia; Heteromyidae.